GACGAACGCUGGCGGCGUGCUUAACACAUGCAAGUCGAACGGAAAGGCCCCUUUGGGGGUACUCGAGUGGCGAACGGGUGAGUAACACGUGAGUAACCUGCCCUUGACUUCGGGAUAACUUCAGGAAACUGGGGCUAAUACCGGAUAGGAAUCCUUGCUGCAUGGUGGGGGUUGGAAAGCUUCGGCGGUUUUGGAUGGACUCGCGGCUUAUCAGCUUGUUGGUGGGGUAGUGGCUUACCAAGGCUUUGACGGGUAGCCGGCCUGAGAGGGCGACCGGCCACAUUGGGACUGGGAUACGGCCCAGACUCCUACGGGUGGCAGCAGUGGGGAAUAUUGCACAAUGGGCGGGAGCCUGAUGCAGCAACGCCGCGUGCGGGAUGACGGCCUUCGGGUUGUAAACCGCUUUCAGCAGGGGCGAAGCUUGUGGUGACGGUACCUGCAGAAGAAGCACCGGCUAACUACGUG
RNAcentral lists this ribosomal RNA (465 nucleotides) under uncultured bacterium. RNAcentral's name for it is "partial 16S ribosomal RNA". It matches the Rfam family "Bacterial small subunit ribosomal RNA", at positions 28 to 507 of the family's 1533-position model. The record is from RNAcentral.